GGGCCCGUGGCAUAGCCUGGAGAGACUGUAUAAAUCUCGGGUUAUUAUUGCACCGCUCUGAUAAGGCGGGAAGCGGGUGUUCAAUCGGCUACGGAUUUCCCGUGUCGGGACAAAUCACCCCGGGCCCACCA
RNAcentral lists this transfer RNA (131 nucleotides) under Promethearchaeota archaeon. Its description in RNAcentral is "Candidatus Lokiarchaeota archaeon (microbial mat metagenome) tRNA-Ile". The record is from RNAcentral. Lineage: Archaea; Promethearchaeati; Promethearchaeota.